This 587-nucleotide long non-coding RNA is filed under the name Olea europaea (common olive). RNAcentral describes it as "long non-coding RNA (OEUR_LNC006399)". Lineage: Eukaryota; Viridiplantae; Streptophyta; Magnoliopsida; Lamiales; Oleaceae. The record is from RNAcentral.
CCCAUCAUUAAACAUAAACAUAAAAUGUAAACAAAAGCAGAAUGGUGAUGAUAAUCUAGUUUUCCAUAAUCCAAAUCAGUUUAUAAAAUGAUUGUUCAUAAAGACACAAACUUAGGCAUAAACUAGAUCUUACACAAGCACAAAAAUUAUAACAUUAGGCCUUAAACGGAUAUACAUCUCAAACUACAGUUGACAACGACGAUUCAUUCUUCUUGAUGCUUAAGGAGAGCUCCCUACGGUCAGUCAAGAAUCAAGAAUCACAGCACAGGUCAUUGCAUCGACAAACGAGGACUGGGAGUGCAAGAGAAAUAAGAUUUAAGUCCAAACCCUUAAUAUCAUAUCUCUAUCAUCAUUUUUUAGCAAUCACAAUAUACUGCAGGCUUUCUGACCCUUUCUCUUCUUUUUCCUUUGCUUUGGUGGCUGUAUAACUACCUUAAUAGCUGCAUCAAAGACGGCCUUCACAUUCUGCAAUACUUGAAGGAAAUUCAUUCAAUGCUUAUUUGGUAUAGCUUAAAAAAUUGCUAAAAAGCUGAUGUCAAUGUCAACAAUAAAUUUUACCACAUAUAAUAGGAAUCACAACUUUUANN